AACGGCCGCGGUAUCCUAACCGUGCAAAGGUAGCAUAAUCACUUGCCUAUUAAUUGUAGGCUAGAAUGAAUGGGUUAACGAAAUAAAGACUGUCUCAAUUAAUCACCUAAAAAUUACUAUCUAUCUGAAGAAGAGUAGAUAAUCUCGAAGGACAAGAAGACCCUAUAGAGCUUAAUUUUAAUUAUAGAGCUACACUAUAAAAAUAUUAGGUUGGGGCGACCCAGGGCUAAUCAAUCACCCACUACAUAAAAGAUAAAUUAAUCAAGUAAUUGACCCCUAAAAGAUCAUAAGAACAAGCUACCUUAGGGAUAACAGGCUAAUCCCACUCAAGAGUCCUUAUCAACAGUGGGGUUUGGCACCUCGAUGUUGGCUUAGG
Molecule: ribosomal RNA, 376 nt
Filed under: Metaphire sieboldi (earthworm)
Lineage: Eukaryota; Metazoa; Annelida; Clitellata; Crassiclitellata; Megascolecidae
Description: partial 16S ribosomal RNA
Rfam family: Bacterial large subunit ribosomal RNA
Source: RNAcentral